UGAGCGCUAGGUGUUGGGGACUUUCCGGUCCUCAGUGCCGCAGCAAACGCAUUAAGCGCUCCGCCUGGGGAGUACGACCGCAAGGUUGAAACUCAAAGGAAUUGACGGGGGCCCGCACAAGCGGUGGAGCAUGUGGUUUAAUUCGAAGCAACGCGAAGAACCUUACCAGGUCUUGACAUCCUGUGCUACACCUAGAGAUAGGUGGUUCCCUUCGGGGACGCAGAGACAGGUGGUGCAUGGCUGUCGUCAG
RNAcentral lists this ribosomal RNA (250 nucleotides) under uncultured bacterium. Its description in RNAcentral is "partial 16S ribosomal RNA". It matches the Rfam family "Bacterial small subunit ribosomal RNA", at positions 810 to 1058 of the family's 1533-position model. The record is from RNAcentral.